This 381-nucleotide unclassified non-coding RNA is filed under the name uncultured Armatimonadota bacterium. Its description in RNAcentral is "uncultured Armatimonadetes bacterium contains 16S-23S intergenic spacer region". Lineage: Bacteria; Bacillati; Armatimonadota. The record is from RNAcentral.
UCCGGCUUACACCGGCGGUCUCCUGCGAGUGCCCACCAUGACGUGCUGGUAACACAGGACGAGGGUUGCGCUCGUUGGCGGACUUAACCGUACACCUCACGGCACGAGCUGACGACAGCCAUGCAACAUCUGUCUUUGAGUCCCCUUGUGGGGGAGGGACCUAUCUCUAGGCCUUACUCGCGAUGUCAAACCUGGGUAAGGUUCUUCGGUUAGUAUCGAAUUAAUCCACAUGCUCCACCGCUUGUGCGGGUCCCCGUCAAUUCAUUUGAGUUUCAACCUUGCGGCCGUAGUCCCCAGGCGGGAUGCUUAGUGCGUUAGCUGCGGCACCGGGGGGGUCGAUACCCCCGACGCCUAGCAUCCAUCGUUUAGGGCGUGGACUAC